GCCCCCAUAACUCAAUUGGUAGAGUAGUUCCCUUUUAAGGAAAAAGUCGGAGGUUCGAGUCCUCCUGGGGGCACAA
RNAcentral lists this transfer RNA (76 nucleotides) under Candidatus Nealsonbacteria bacterium CG_4_10_14_0_8_um_filter_37_14. RNAcentral's name for it is "tRNA-Lys". It matches the Rfam family "tRNA". From Rfam's summary of the family: Transfer RNA (tRNA) molecules are approximately 80 nucleotides in length. RNAcentral also lists the same sequence under 3 other names. Lineage: Bacteria; Candidatus Nealsoniibacteriota. The record is from RNAcentral.